RNAcentral lists this ribosomal RNA (253 nucleotides) under uncultured bacterium. Its description in RNAcentral is "partial 16S ribosomal RNA". It matches the Rfam family "Bacterial small subunit ribosomal RNA", at positions 524 to 776 of the family's 1533-position model. The record is from RNAcentral.
UACGUAGGGUGCAGGCGUUAAUCGGAAUUACUGGGCGUAAAGCGUGCGCAGGCGGUUUGCUAAGACAGGUGUGAAAUCCCCGGGCUUAACCUGGGAACUGCGCUUGUAACUGGCAAGCCAGAGUGUGGCAGAGGGGGGUGGAAUUCCACGUGUAGCAGUGAAAUGCGUAGAGAUGUGGAGGAACACCGAUGGCGAAGGCAGCCCCCUGGGCUAACACUGACGCUCAUGCACGAAAGCGUGGGGAGCAAACAGG